GUAGAGGUGACUCGGUCGUUAAGAGUACUACCUGCUCUUCCAGAGGACCUGGGUUCAAUUCCCAGCACCUACA
RNAcentral lists this transfer RNA (73 nucleotides) under Mus musculus (house mouse). It matches the Rfam family "tRNA". From Rfam's summary of the family: Transfer RNA (tRNA) molecules are approximately 80 nucleotides in length. Their secondary structure includes four short double-helical elements and three loops (D, anti-codon, and T loops). Lineage: Eukaryota; Metazoa; Chordata; Mammalia; Rodentia; Muridae. The record is from Rfam by way of RNAcentral.